CAGACCUUGAAUUUAUCAAGGUGUGACAGUCUUACUGAAUUGCCAAUACAUAUUGGAAAUUUAGUCGGCUUACGUCACCUUGAUAUAAGUGGGACUA
This 97-nucleotide microRNA precursor is filed under the name Medicago truncatula (barrel medic). Its description in RNAcentral is "miR2639 stem-loop (mtr-MIR2639)". The record is from miRBase by way of RNAcentral. Lineage: Eukaryota; Viridiplantae; Streptophyta; Magnoliopsida; Fabales; Fabaceae.